GGUAUGGGAUGGGGUCGCGUCCUAUCAGCUUGAUGGCGGGGUAACGGCCCACCAUGGCUUCGACGGGUAGCCGGCCUGAGAGGGCGACCGGCCACAUUGGGACUGAGAUACGGCCCAGACUCCUACGGGAGGCAGCAGUGGGGAAUAUUGCACAAUGGGCGCAAGCCUGAUGCAGCGACGCCGCGUGCGGGAUGACGGCCUUCGGGUUGUAAACCGCUUUUGACUGGGAGCAAGCCCUUCGGGGUGAGUGUACCUUUCGAAUAAGCACCGGCUAACUACGUGCCAGCAGCCGCGGUAAUACGUAGGGUGCAAGCGUUAUCCGGAAUUAUUGGGCGUAAAGGGCUCGUAGGCGGUUCGUCGCGUCCGGUGUGAAAGUCCAUCGCUUAACGGUGGAUCCGCGCCGGGUACGGGCGGGCUUGAGUGCGGUAGGGGAGACUGGAAUUCCCGGUGUAACGGUGG
RNAcentral lists this ribosomal RNA (459 nucleotides) under uncultured bacterium. RNAcentral describes it as "bacterial SSU rRNA". It matches the Rfam family "Bacterial small subunit ribosomal RNA", at positions 217 to 684 of the family's 1533-position model. The record is from RNAcentral.